This 332-nucleotide long non-coding RNA is filed under the name Nicotiana benthamiana. Its description in RNAcentral is "long non-coding RNA (NBEN_LNC033464)". The record is from RNAcentral. Lineage: Eukaryota; Viridiplantae; Streptophyta; Magnoliopsida; Solanales; Solanaceae.
UCAUAUCUCAUCAGCAUUUCAAAUGUGUGGUCCACAAAACAAUGCAUACUUUCUUAUCCAUAAUAGAUCUGGGAUCAUAAAUUUGUCAUUGCAAUAAAUUGGGACCAUAGCAUAUUUGUAUUCAAAAUUCAAAUAUAGCCCAAAAUCAUGAAUUUCAAACAAGAAUUGAAAUAUAAGAUGAAAAUUACAAUGGUUUUCAGAUUUUCUAGAAUCGAAUAAAAGAUCCAAACCCGAAAGUACAAGAAAAGGGAGACGAGAGAACCCAAAGAGGCUUUUUAAAGAGAUAGAAGGAGAGAGAAACAGAGAGAAGCGUCCAUGGAACUACAGCCAUG